Molecule: ribosomal RNA, 869 nt
Filed under: uncultured archaeon
Lineage: Archaea
Description: bacterial SSU rRNA
Rfam family: Archaeal small subunit ribosomal RNA
Source: RNAcentral
CUCCGGUUGAUCCCGCCGGACCUGACUGCUAUCGGAUUGGUACUAAGCCAUGCGAGUCAUUGUAGCAAUACAAGGCGGACGGCUCAGUAACACGUAGUCAACCUAACUCGUGGACGUGGAUAACCUCGGGAAACUGAGAAUAAACCACGAUAGAUCAUAGUGCCUGGAAUGGCUUAUGGUCCAAACAGUUUACUGCCAUGGGAUGGGACUGCGGCCUAUCAGCUUGUUGGUGAGGUAAUGGCCCACCAAGGCGAUUACAGGUACGGGCUCUGAGAGGAGAAGCCCGGAGAUGGGUACUGAGACACGGACCCAGGCCCUAUGGGGCGCAGCAGGCGAGAAACCUUAGCAAUGUGCGAAAGCACGACUGGGUCAGUCCGAGUGAUUCCUGAUAAAGGAGUCUUUUGCUUGUCCUAAAAGCACAGGUGAAUAAGGGGUGGGCAAGUCUGGUGUCAGCCGCCGCGGUAAUACCAGCACCUCGAGUGGUCAGGACGUUUAUUGGGCCUAAAGCAUCCGUAGCCGGCUCUGCAAGUCUUCGGUUAAAUCCACCUGCUCAACAGAUGGGCUGCUGGAGAUACUACAGAGCUAGGGAGUGGGAGAGGCAGACGGUAUUCAGUGGGUAGGGGUAAAAUCCUCUGAUCCAUUGAGGACCACCAGUGGCGAAGGCGGUCUACCAGAACACGUUCGACGGUGAGGGAUGAAAGCUGGGGGAGCAAACCGGAUUAGAUACCCGGGUAGUCCCAGCUGUAAACGAUGCAAACUCGGUGAUGCAUUGGCUUAUGGCCAAUGCAGUGCCGCAGGGAAGCCGUUAAGUUUGCCGCCUGGGAAGUACGGACGCAGGUCUGAAACUUAAAGGAAUUUGGCGGGGAGCA